RNAcentral lists this ribosomal RNA (281 nucleotides) under uncultured bacterium. Its description in RNAcentral is "partial 16S ribosomal RNA". It matches the Rfam family "Bacterial small subunit ribosomal RNA", at positions 506 to 784 of the family's 1533-position model. The record is from RNAcentral.
UGCCAGCCGCCGCGGUAAUACGGGGGAUGCGAGCGUUAUCCGGAAUUAUUGGGCGUAAAGCGCCUGCAGGUGGCCUGUCAAGUCCUCCGUCAAAGGCCGGGGCCUAACCCCGGAAAGGCGGCGGAAACUGCUAGGCUAGAGGGCGUGCUGGGGUAGAGGGAACUCCUAGUGUAGCGGUGAAAUGCGCAGAUAUUAGGAAGAACACCGGUGGCGAAGGCGCUCUACUGGGCCAGACCCUGACACUCAGAGGCGAAAGCUGGGGGAGCGAGACGGAUUAGAUA